RNAcentral lists this ribosomal RNA (253 nucleotides) under uncultured bacterium. RNAcentral describes it as "partial 16S ribosomal RNA". It matches the Rfam family "Bacterial small subunit ribosomal RNA", at positions 524 to 776 of the family's 1533-position model. The record is from RNAcentral.
UACGAACCGUACAAACGUUAUUCGGAAUCACUGGGCAUAAAGCGUACGUAGGCGGCGUCGUAAGUGUCGGAUGAAAUCCCACGGCUUACCCGUGGAACGGUCCGGCAUACUGCGGUGCUAGAGGAUGGUAGAGGAGAGCGGAACUCUUGGUGGAGCGGUGAAAUGCGUAGAUAUCCGGAGGAACACCGGUGGCGAAGGCGGCUUCCUGGACCGACACUGACGCUGAGGCGCGAAAGCUAGGGGAGCAAACGGG